This is a long non-coding RNA of Megachile rotundata (alfalfa leafcutting bee), 1536 nucleotides long. The record is from RefSeq and is a predicted model, not a curated record. Lineage: Eukaryota; Metazoa; Arthropoda; Insecta; Hymenoptera; Megachilidae.
CUUCAUUUUAAACUGUAUUAAAAAUUCAAGUAAGAUUUACGUUUCAACCGUAACUGGAUCAGACUCGUACAAGUUUAUUUAAAUAUCGUCAAUUAUUAUUACACACGAUUAUGACCGCCAGCUUCCUUAUGGAAGGAAAAUAAUAGUCCAAGCUAAACUACACAUUGAUUUAUUUAUUUAAUUCUUUACUUUUCAUGGAAGAUGGCGCUUGAGGUAUAUUUAUAUUACCCAAAGAACAGUCAUUGAACUACACAUGAUUGCAGUGUUACGCAUUUGUUUUCCUUUCUAUUAUAAUAUUGUUGCGUGUUCCUAAAACAUCGCGUAGUAGUACAGAGAAUCGACUAGAGGCGCUUUACAUUGCACAUUUUCGCGCCCUUCUAGCGUCGGUUGCACUACUUUGCUUGUUUACGCGUUGCGUCGCACGUGUGUCGCAGUGUAACACGUUGCUCUGCCAUUCGGUGAAUCUUUAUUAAAUAUCGCAUAAACCUGAAGUUAUCUAUGUUUAUUAAGUGUCUAUGUUUGUUAACUGUGCUUAUUAAGUGUGCCUGUGUACUAAAUGUGUCUGCUUUAUUUCUAAAAUCUAUUGCUCGCAAAAUCUCUCGACCUUGCUGCGCAGAGAAUUCCCGAAACGUCGCUUUGAGGCAAGUUGAAAAAGUGCAUGUAACAAACCGUGCAGAGCCGUGUAACGCGGUCGAUUCAUACAACGAACGGAUUUCGUUUAAAAAAAUGCUCGUUGAAUGGCCGAUCUCGGGCCUACCGUUCGGUAGGUUUUAACGAGUAAAAUUUCCCGCGGUAGACACGAACGACAGUGAAUCCCCGACGAUCCCUUUGGCGGCACCUUUGCCGACCCGUCCGCGUUUCUCCUAUGACAAACGGAAGAAUGGAAGAAUGCUUCGGAGACAAGUUGCAUUUACAAUAAAGCCGACGGACAGUCGGUUUAAAUUCCUGUCACCUCGUGGCGGACACCGCGGACCACUCGGACAGCCCGAAAAAUGUUCGUCGAUAUUUCACGACCGUCUUCGAGCUACCACGAUCGUCGAACAGAUCUCUUCUUUUUACGCUAAGCGACAAGUACGACGCUUGCAUAAUACAAAAUAUAUUUUCUAUGAAAUAGAUAAAUUUCAGAAAUUUAUUUUGAAUGGUUCGGAAUUAUAUGACCUCGAUUUACAAUUUUGUAGGCACUUGUGUCAAAAAUGGAUUGCUACAAUGUCGGAAGAAAUGAAGAAGGUCAAAGUGUUGAAUACAUUUUGCAUUUAGCGAUGCUUGAUUAUUCAGGUGAUUAGAAUUGAACGAUUCGGUGAAGGGAAAAAAAGUUCGGUUUGUUACGUUUGAACUUUGCGCGCGAAAUCGACGCAAUAUUUCAUGGGGGAGGUUAAUUAUUAACCUGCGGAUAUUUAUGGCAGCCUGCAAAAUAAAUGUAAAUUAUUUAAUACACGGGCUAUUAAAUGAUAAAAUGGUUGCAAGGCAUGAUGAAAUGUUAUAAGGAAGAAUAGAUCAUAACAUAUUAUGACUGCUGAAUAUGAAGAUACUUCAAGA